Molecule: ribosomal RNA, 253 nt
Filed under: uncultured bacterium
Lineage: Bacteria
Description: partial 16S ribosomal RNA
Rfam family: Bacterial small subunit ribosomal RNA
Source: RNAcentral
CACGUAGGGCGCAAGCGUUGUCCGGAAUUAUUGGGCGUAAAGAGCUCGUAGGCGGUCUGUUGCGUCUGCUGUGAAAACCCGGGGCUUAACCCCUGGCUUGCAGUGGAUACGGACAGACUAGAGGUAGGUAGGGGAGAAUGGAAUUCCUGGUGUAGCGGUGAAAUGCGCAGAUAUCAGGAGGAACACCGGUGGCGAAGGCGGAUCUCUGGGCCUUACCUGACGCUCAGGUGCGAAAGCUAGGGGAGCGAACAGG